AUAUAUGAUGCAUACUAAAGCUUUAAGCUAAUUGUGAAUGAAUGUAUGGAUUAUGUAAGAUUUUUAAGUCCAAUAGGAAUUGGAUGUGGAAGCCCAAGUGUUUGUUAAUCAAAAGUCCAAACUAAAGUAAUGCAAGCCCAAAAUGAAUAAGCUAAGUUAGUUAACUUAAGCCAAAUGUAAUGAUCCAAUGGGUAAAGCAUGAUCCAUGGAGCAAACCAUUUUGAUGUGGGUUAAACUUGGUGACAAAGAACUUUUAG
Molecule: long non-coding RNA, 257 nt
Filed under: Panax ginseng (ginseng)
Lineage: Eukaryota; Viridiplantae; Streptophyta; Magnoliopsida; Apiales; Araliaceae
Description: long non-coding RNA (PGIN_LNC000587)
Source: RNAcentral